RNAcentral lists this unclassified non-coding RNA (229 nucleotides) under plant metagenome. Its description in RNAcentral is "partial contains small subunit ribosomal RNA, internal transcribed spacer 1, and 5.8S ribosomal RNA". The record is from RNAcentral.
UCUCCGUAGGUGAACCUGCGGAGGGAUCAUUACAGAGUUCAUGCCCUACCGGGUAGAUCUCCCACCCUAUGUUAUUAUUACUUUGUUGCUUUGGCGGGCCGUUAGGCUCCGGCCCGACUACCGGCCCCGGCUGGUAAGCGGCCGCCAGAGGACCCAAAACCCUGAAUAUUAGUGUCGUCUGAGUACUAUAUAAUAGUUAAAACUUUCAACAACGGAUCUCUUGGUUCUG